Molecule: ribosomal RNA, 398 nt
Filed under: uncultured bacterium
Lineage: Bacteria
Description: bacterial SSU rRNA
Rfam family: Bacterial small subunit ribosomal RNA
Source: RNAcentral
GAGCAAAGUGUGAGAGUACACGAGCGGCGGACGGCUGAGUAACGCGUGGAACGUACCCCAAAGUGAGGGAUAAGCACCAGAAAUGGUGUCUAAUACCGUAUGUGGUCUUCGGAUUAAAGCUUCGGCGCUUUGGGAGCGGCCUGCGUAUGAUUAGUUUGUUGGUGAGGUAAUGGCUCACCAAGGCUUCGAUCAUUAGCUGGUCUGAGAGGAUGAUCAGCCAGACUGGGACUGAGAACGGCCCAGACUCCUACGGGAGGCAGCAGUAGGGAAUUUUCCACAAUGGGCGAAAGCCUGAUGGAGCAACGCCGCGUGCAGGAUGAAGGCCUUCGGGUUGUAAACUGCUUUUAUAUGUGACGAUUAUGACGGUAGCAUAUGAAUAAGGAUCGGCUAACUCCGUG